This 1092-nucleotide long non-coding RNA is filed under the name Brassica napus (rape). RNAcentral's name for it is "long non-coding RNA (BNAP_LNC027041)". The record is from RNAcentral. Lineage: Eukaryota; Viridiplantae; Streptophyta; Magnoliopsida; Brassicales; Brassicaceae.
UGAAAUUACUGAAGGUGAACCCGUCUAUGAAAACAUGAACCCGGCCACGAGAACUUGAUCGUGUCUUAAAAAACAUGUCCACACUAAAUCUACAAUAACAUGUUCACAAAACAUGUCAGCAAGAACAUGUCUUCACCAAAAUGUCUACACUAUCUCAUCCAAUUUUUUUUUGUCAUCCGUUGUUUCAUUGAUUUCAAACUAGAAAAGCCAAAAGGCAUGUUACAACGACACCAAUUCUAGAGCCUAAAGCCGACGGUUUAGAGAUAUAACCUCGGAGCCAUAAGCCGGUGAUUGCACAGAAACAAUCCCGGAAACAAACCACAUUAGAAAACACUUAAACUAAUAUGCAAAGACUACACGAACAUGGACAAUAUUAAAGACUGAACACACUAGAGGAGACUCAAACCUAGCCAAAGAGAGAAGCGACACCGGCCUGAUAGAUAUGGAUAACCGUUGCUGUAUGUAGAUUGCAUCUUAUAUGCGCCUGAACCCCACCAACCUCCUCCAAAGCCAACUAAACUCGCCAUUGGACUUUGAACCAAGGUUACCAUGCAUGCACCUUCUACACGCCUCCGCUCCACUCACUCCCUCCAGAUCCAACUAAAACUUGCCAUUGACCUCUGAACGAGUUCACCACGCGCCUCAGAACCACGGCAAGGCCAAACAAACCAUACAAGACACGCUCAUACUCAGAACAGCCGGUAACCCCAAAUCCACCACCACAUACCGUAGAUCUGACGAGAUCGACGCCUAUGAAAUCCGAUUUGAGACUCUCUGCUUCAAUCCGAAGAUUCGAAGCUUUUGACCAGAUCUGAACCCUCUAGACUAAAAUACAAAACUUAAACCAGACUGAAACAAACGAGAAAUGGUGUCCACCUUCUCACGGUACCAAUAGCACGAGACCAUCGACCGGAGAAGAUGGAGAACGAAGACUUCUCUUCUUUUUCUCUCUCGCUCUCCACACUAUCUCAUCCAUAAACAUACUAAAAUUGCUAGACAUAGAAAUAUUAUUAUAUACAUCUACAUUAUACGUUUUUGCAUCAGACAAGAUUCACCAAACAAUACUUUGCAUCAAUCCACAACUCUUUCAUC